Molecule: non-coding RNA, 85 nt
Organism: Ricinus communis (castor bean)
Lineage: Eukaryota; Viridiplantae; Streptophyta; Magnoliopsida; Malpighiales; Euphorbiaceae
Source: Rfam
UGCAAUCAGUGAUGCUAAUUAUGAAUUAGUGCUGAUUAACUGUGAUGAUCAUACAAAAAAUCACCAUCUUUCGGCUGAGAUUGCA